AAAAAAUAAGAAGAAAAAAAUUACAUUACAAAUAUUUUAAAAAAAUAUAUAUUUUAUUAGAGUGAUUUUAAUAUUAAAAAUAUAAUAGUUGAAUGAGAAAAAUAUCACAAGUUAAUUACGAUAAAAUAAGAAGAAAAAAUUACAUUACACACCUUUUUAAAAAAAAUACAGUUUAUUAGAGUGGUUUUAAGAACCAAAUUGAAUAUAUUCAGUUUGAUUUUAUUUGGUUUUAAAAUGAUCCAUAGUCCUAAUGAAACAUUUUAUUCACUUCACAU
RNAcentral lists this long non-coding RNA (275 nucleotides) under Lathyrus oleraceus (garden pea). RNAcentral describes it as "Pisum sativum (pea) long non-coding RNA (PSAT_LNC010642)". The record is from RNAcentral. Lineage: Eukaryota; Viridiplantae; Streptophyta; Magnoliopsida; Fabales; Fabaceae.